GGCCUGGUGGUGUCGUGAUUAUAUGCUUGCACUGCUUUAGAUACUUAAAUGUUGCUUCAGCAGGAGUCCCUUGUUCGAUUCAAGGUCAGGCCA
This is a non-coding RNA of Mycena vulgaris, 93 nucleotides long. NCBI's taxonomy places the organism in Eukaryota, Fungi, Basidiomycota, Agaricomycetes, Agaricales, Mycenaceae. The record is from the annotation of a GenBank genome assembly.